AGAAUUAGUUCUGGGAGAAGGGCACUGUUUCAGCUGCAGGCCAUAAAAAGCAGAACUUAGACUAAUCAGAAGUGGAUUUAUUAUAAUCUACAAAUUAAUGGGUACACUUGAAACUGAAAAAGAAAAAGGUGUGAAGAAUUCAGAAAACAGGAAGUUUCUCAUUUGUGAUUAGAUCUGCUACACAUUUGGGAGCCAUGGGGAGAGCAGCUGCGACCUGACAGCAGCUGGGAUCAGGUUUAUAAUGAAGUUGUGGGAGGAAGCAGAGGUGGGAAGUGCCAUAAAGCAGCAUGGUGUGUUUCUCCUGUGAGAAUUCAUGACAGCAAGAGAUACCUUAGAGAUGCGCAUCCAGGAUCUGGUGUGUUUCUCCUGUGAGAAUUCACGACAGCAAGAGAUACCUUAGAGCUAAGGGAAGAACUAUUGCAGAGGGGUAGAAGUGAAAUCUUCACAUGAAGAAUCCAUUAGCCAAACCGGUCCGUGCUCCAGGAGCAGCUUCAGAGUGCUCAACUUACAGAAUUACCAUCAAUAAAAUGAAAAUGGAAUUCCUCAGGCCUGUGAACACUUGCUUUCCUGCCAGAGGUACACGGCAGUUCACAAGAGCACUAGCAGGAGAUUCUGGAUAUAAAGAACAAUUGUGUCAGUAGCAGAUGUAAUCAAAGGAAUCAUUCUCCGGUUUCAUGUUCACCUUAUCACCAAUUCUAUCGGGGUUAAGCGUGGAAGGAUAUAAAUAUCAUACGUGGGGAAAACAGCAUCUCUGCUUGCAGACCAGCUGAAUUAAAAACCACAGGGAGUUUAGGUGGUCCAGAUGAAAAGMGUUAUGGUGAGGGGUGAAAACCAUACUGAGAAUUGUGGCCCUGAGUUKGA
This is a long non-coding RNA of Malurus melanocephalus (red-backed fairy wren), 861 nucleotides long. RefSeq lists it as uncharacterized. NCBI's taxonomy places the organism in Eukaryota, Metazoa, Chordata, Aves, Passeriformes, Maluridae. The record is from RefSeq and is a predicted model, not a curated record. The transcript is spliced from 5 exons.